UACGUAGGGAGCAAGCGUUUGUCCGGAAUCAUUGGGCGUAAAAGCGCGCGUAGGUGGCCACAUAAGUCCGUUGUGAAAGUCAAAGGCUCAACCUUUGAAAGCCGAUGGAUACUGUGUGGCUAGAGUACGGAAGAGGCGAGUGGAAUUCCUGGUGUAGCGGUGGAAUGCGCAGAUAUCAGGAGGAACACCAAUAGCGAAGGCAGCUCGCUGGGACGUUACUGACACUGAGGCGCGAAAAGCGUGGGGGAGCGAACAGG
This 257-nucleotide ribosomal RNA is filed under the name uncultured bacterium. RNAcentral's name for it is "partial 16S ribosomal RNA". It matches the Rfam family "Bacterial small subunit ribosomal RNA", at positions 524 to 776 of the family's 1533-position model. The record is from RNAcentral.